GACGUAGGGGGCCAGCGUUGCUCGGAAUUACUGGGCGUAAAGGGUUCGUAGGCGGUGCGGCAAGUUGGGAGUGAAAUCUCUGGGCUUAACCCAGAGGCUGCUUCCAAAACUGCCGUGCUAGAGUGCGAGAGAGGCCAGUGGAAUUGCAGGUGUAGCGGUGAAAUGCGUAGAUAUCGGGAGGAACACCUGUGGCGAAGGCGACCCCCUGGUUGGAUACUGACGCUGAGACACGAAAGCGUGGGGAGCAAACAGG
Molecule: ribosomal RNA, 253 nt
Filed under: uncultured bacterium
Lineage: Bacteria
Description: partial 16S ribosomal RNA
Rfam family: Bacterial small subunit ribosomal RNA
Source: RNAcentral